UUGAAAUUGUAAGUUUCGUCAACUAUCCUCCUGAAAUUCACAAAACUUCAAUCACCCUCCUGAAAUUGCACAACGUUAAUCAAUUUACCCUCUCCAUCAAAUUUUUCUUUUAGUCAACAUGAUGUAUUGCAAAUACCUCCCCUGAAAUUUUGCACUUAUGUGCAAAAUGUCUCCUAAACUUAAAAAUUUAUAUAUUUUUUUCUUUUAGUAUCUUUUUACUUUUAAAGAGACUAUUUAGUUUGAGGGACAAAAAAACACACAUAUUUUGUAAAAAAUGGUUUCAAAACAAGGACUUAAAUUGAAAUGUAUGUAGGGACCAAAUUUAAAAAAAAAUAAAAAAUUAUAAGGAUUAAAAAUAUAUCUAACUCUAAUAUAAAACAAAGAAUGAUUGUAAAGAAGAGAUUAUUGAAAUACCUGCAUAGUUGAUAAUCUGCCAUUUGUAGCUUGAGAUAACAUGCAUGUACUCGUGAUUUUCGGAUAUUAAACCAUUAAUUGAUUUGAAUCGUCAAUCUUUGAACUCUCGAUUUUUAUUCAUGAGAAGGGAAAAAAUGAGUAAAAACCCUUCAGACUUUGGAUUCGGGGGUUGGUUACGCGAAGGGAAGGUGCUAGCACCCUAAGCGUCUACGGUAUCCCGUAGGAACCUCUUACCUAGAUUAUCUUGUGCUAAAUUCAUUUGCUUACUUGAAAAAAUUAUUACCUAAAAAUCUAAGUGAAAGAAUGGAGGGAGAAGUAGUAUGCUUUUGGUUAUUUUUAUUUGAUUUGGAAGGAUUGACUCCCUUGCCUACAUACCCUUAAAGAAAAGGGAUCAAAACCAAUGUAGUUCACCUAAAAAGUUUCUUUGGUGGGUUAGGUUGAUUUUAAGAUUUU
Molecule: long non-coding RNA, 867 nt
Filed under: Medicago truncatula (barrel medic)
Lineage: Eukaryota; Viridiplantae; Streptophyta; Magnoliopsida; Fabales; Fabaceae
Description: long non-coding RNA (MTRU_LNC006552)
Source: RNAcentral